CCACGGUGGUUCCCACGAAAAAAAAUCCCACGCUUCCAGCGAGAGUCUGAGAAGGUAAUAGGGCAAAAUGUUACCAUGGGGUUGUCAGGAAGUCCCACCGCUUUUCAUAUCAGUGGAAAUUAACAUUCUCGGACGCGUUCUGUGCUAUAGUGUCUUUACUAUUCUUCGUUCUUAUCGGCAGCAGCACCUAACUACAUGGAUAAAACUACGUUCAAGACAAUGAACUGGGGGGCUACCCCAAAGACGCAACAUCUGGUGGUCAGGUCCCUCAUAACGAAACUUGUCGGGAAGGAGACGCUGGCCACCCAUAGCCUUACGGGACAGCCUUCAAACGCACACCCUUUGAAGGAGGCAAGGCCGCGCCUGGAUCCGGUGAUUGUGAACGACGUCAUUGCUGUCUGCCAGGCCAACAUGAAGAUGAAGAAGUCAGGUAGCGACUGCCAUAUCAAAGGCGUGUGUGGAUGCCAGGGCUGUGGCAAAACGGAGGUCGAAGACCCACACCGACGAUGAGGCCGGGGAACGCAACGUGUAGCAGGCCGCUGCACCAACGGAGACACACCUGGCCGGCGAACAUGACCUGAUACAUGAGCUUAUACACAAGACUGUGAC
This is a long non-coding RNA of Amphibalanus amphitrite, 609 nucleotides long. RefSeq lists it as uncharacterized. The transcript is spliced from 3 exons. The record is from RefSeq and is a predicted model, not a curated record. Lineage: Eukaryota; Metazoa; Arthropoda; Thecostraca; Balanomorpha; Balanidae.